ACCAAGCCAAUUAGGUGCCAACUCUUGGCUAACCCAUAUUAGAACAUGAUCUAAUCAAAUUAGAUCAAUUAAGAAUCGGAUUUGAAUCCAAUUCGAAUCAAGAGCUAAGGGUUUGCAACACCUGCUAGGAUGUCUAUCUUGCAAACAUGAUCUAAUCCAAUUAGACCCUUAAUAAGUUUUCUUGUGUGUGACCCAUUGGAUUCCAUACUUAGCCAGCAAUAGGUGUGAGUGCGAGUUGACCCAACUUGAUUAGAACUCUUCUAAUCGAUUUAAGUCCAAACUGCGCGAACCCGAACUUAACAAUUAGAAUCCUUUCUAAUGGGUGAUCGAAUUAAACUCUUUAAUUCGAUCAAACCUAUAAGACAAGAUUGACGUCUAGCAACGUGUCAUGUCUACCCGAAAAAUAUGAAAUUUGGUGAAAAUACCAAAAAUACCCUUCAGUGGCAAGUUACCGUGCAAUUCAAUUCUUUAAACAAACUGCAUCCUGAAUAUGUAUAUGAGUAUAAAUAUAUGUCAAACUCAAUUUCAUAUUCAUAUAUUUCUCAAUCUUCUAAUGAUAAUUCGAAUAAUGAAAUAUUCGAAACUCUUUCUAAUUUUCAUUGUGCUUUGAUCAAAGACUUCCUGAAUUAUCAUAUGAUCAGAAUAAAUAGGAUGCGAUCUUCUCUUACUAGAAGUGAUUAAUUCCUUGUUGACCUACUUAUAACCUUCAUACACAUUCCACCAUAUCCAGAAGACCUCGUACAUAACUUAUUGUCAUGAAUGAGUGGAAACCAAAAUAUGGAAUU
This 785-nucleotide long non-coding RNA is filed under the name Phoenix dactylifera (date palm). RNAcentral's name for it is "long non-coding RNA (PDAC_LNC018272)". Lineage: Eukaryota; Viridiplantae; Streptophyta; Magnoliopsida; Arecales; Arecaceae. The record is from RNAcentral.